This 620-nucleotide ribosomal RNA is filed under the name Enterobacter hormaechei. RNAcentral describes it as "bacterial SSU rRNA". It matches the Rfam family "Bacterial small subunit ribosomal RNA", at positions 546 to 1169 of the family's 1533-position model. Lineage: Bacteria; Pseudomonadati; Pseudomonadota; Gammaproteobacteria; Enterobacterales; Enterobacteriaceae. The record is from RNAcentral.
CGGAUUCUGGGCGUAAGCGCACGCAGGCGGUCUGUCAAGUCGGAUGUGAAAUCCCCGGGCUCAACCUGGGAACUGCAUUCGAAACUGGCAGGCUAGAGUCUUGCAUAGGGGGGUAGAAUUCCAGGUGUAGCGGUGAAAUGCGUAGAGAUCUGGAGGAAUACCGGUGGCGAAGGCGGCCCCCUGGACAAAGACUGACGCUCAGGUGCGAAAGCGUGGGGAGCAAACAGGAUUAGAUACCCUGGUAGUCCACGCCGUAAACGAUGUCGACUUGGAGGUUGUGCCCUUGAGGCGUGGCUUCCGGAGCUAACGCGUUAAGUCGACCGCCUGGGGAGUACGGCCGCAAGGUUAAAACUCAAAUGAAUUGACGGGGGCCCGCACAAGCGGUGGAGCAUGUGGUUUAAUUCGAUGCAACGCGAAGAACCUUACCUACUCUUGACAUCCAGAGAACUUUGCAGAGAUGGAUUGGUGCCUUCGGGAACUCUGAGACAGGUGCUGCAUGGCUGUCGUCAGCUCGUGUUGUGAAAUGUUGGGUUAAGUCCCGCAACGAGCGCAACCCUUAUCCUUUGUUGCCAGCGGUUAGGCCGGGAACUCAAAGGAGACUGCCAGUGAUAAACUGGAGG